UUAGUUGAAGCCAAAAAGAGGCAAAUCACUGUUAAUGAUAUAAUUGAAAUAUAAUUUCCCCCUAAG
Molecule: transfer RNA, 66 nt
Filed under: Gastroptychus rogeri
Lineage: Eukaryota; Metazoa; Arthropoda; Malacostraca; Decapoda; Chirostylidae
Description: tRNA-Asn
Source: RNAcentral